GACGAACCGUGCAAACGUUAUUCGGAUUCACUGGGCUUAAAGGGCGCGUAGGCGGUCCAUCCAGUCAGGGGUGAAAUCUUUCGGCUCAACCGGAAAAGUGCCUUUGAUACUGAUGGUCUCGAGGGAGGUAGGGGCAUGCGGAACUUCCGGUGGAGCGGUGAAAUGCGUAGAUAUCGGAAGGAAUGCCGGUGGCGAAAGCGGCGUGCUGGACCUCUUCUGACGCUGAGACGCGAAAGCGUGGGGAGCGAACAGG
Molecule: ribosomal RNA, 253 nt
Filed under: uncultured bacterium
Lineage: Bacteria
Description: partial 16S ribosomal RNA
Rfam family: Bacterial small subunit ribosomal RNA
Source: RNAcentral